Raphanus sativus (radish) is the source of this 1805-nucleotide RNA transcript. It is a transcript of the gene named protein-S-isoprenylcysteine O-methyltransferase B, with no coding region annotated. The record is from RefSeq and is a predicted model, not a curated record. The transcript is spliced from 3 exons. Lineage: Eukaryota; Viridiplantae; Streptophyta; Magnoliopsida; Brassicales; Brassicaceae.
CAAAAAAUGUGAAGUGGUCCUAGUCUCAUAACUACUGUAUGUAUAAACGUUGAGUACUGUGACAAAAGAACUAUUCAGUUAUACUCAUCUAAUCAUAAGUCCUUGUUUAAAAAUGUGAAGGGGUGGUCAUAGUGUAAGUUUGUAUGUAACUUUGUGCUUGCUCUCUUUUGGUAAAAAUUUAUUAAUAGAGUUGUUUGCUUUAAGCUUUGGCAGAACUGAAAAAAUGACAACUGCAAAUUUUGAAAGGAAAUAACUAUUUUUGAAACUGUACACCAAGACAAAACAAUAGGACUGUUGGUAAUAUUUCCAGACCGAACAUAGAAGCGGUUCUUCAUGGUUUAACCAGUUGGACCAGAUGAAAAAUUGCUGAAUGCAUUGGAUUGCAAUUGCAGUUCUACAAGGAAGAGGAUAAAAACAUCGUCUCCGAUCUUACUAAUCUUUCAUUAGAGAUCAAAACCGGCAGACCAGGAGGAAGAAAAAUGCGUAUAAAGUUGUUAGUUUUGUCUCCUUUCCCCAAGUUUGUCGGAGAAAAAAAAAAAAAAAAAAAAAAAAAAAAAGUUUGUCGGAGAAUGUUAAAUUAAUUUAAACCUAACAUCAUUACUAAUAUAAACCGGAACAAUCCGAUCGGUUAGUAAUUCGAACCGGUAGCCUUGAAGAAAAAGCCUGGUUCUUGACAUUUUAGAGUUCCUGCAACGGUUCUUCUCAGUGAUUAAUUUUUUACCGGAAGCCCCAUCUCCGUGAAUCAAACAAAGAUUUAUUUUCACUGUGACAAUCACAAAUCUAACAGAAGGUAAUCCCUUUAUUAUUUGUCCCAAGCAAAGAUAAAGAGUGUGUUUGGUGAGGGCAAUUUCACGCAGCAGCCGUCAAUUUGAAGUCUGGUAAUAGAAUCUAUGAAAGAGAUCUUUAGUGACACCGGAUCCAAACAGUUAACACAAAUGUUCCUAGCGAUCAUCUUCUUCCACACAUCGGAAUACAUUCUCGCCUUAGCCAUCCACGGAGCAUCGAGAGUUACUCUAAGCUCACUUCUGAUCACCAAACACUAUGCUUUCGCAAUGCUAAUCUCGAUCCUCGAGUACCUAAUCGAGAUCACUCUGUUUCCGAACCUGAAACAACGCUGGUGGAUCAGCAACUCUGGUCUUAUAAUGGUCAUUCUCGGUGAGAUCAUCCGCAAAACCGCGAUAAUCACAGCAGGCAGAUCCUUCACACACCUUAUAAAGAUUCGAAGGAAGGAGCAUCACAGGCUUGUGACGCGAGGAGUGUAUCGAAUCGCGAGGCAUCCGAGUUACGCAGGGUUUCUGGUUUGGUCUGUUGGAACGCAGGUGAUGCUGUGUAAUCCUGUUUCCGCGGUUGCGUUUGCGGUUGUGGUGUGGCGGUUCUUUGCAGAGAGAGUACCUUACGAGGAGCAUUACUUGAAGCAGUUUUUUGGGAGACAGUAUGUGGAGUAUGCGCAGAGAGUUCCUUCCGGUGUUCCUUUCGUAAACUGAACCAUGUUAUGAACUAGACAAGUUUGGUUAAUCUUUUUCUGCUAAGAAAUCGUGGAAGACUCUGACUAGGCUAGAGGAUAAUCAGUUUUGAUUUAAUCACGGAAGACUCUGACUAAACUAGAGGGUUAUCAAUUUUCGGCUAUGUCGAGUUUUGUUGAUUCAAUCUUAACUAGUUCCUAUGAUAUUCUUUUUGUUUUUCCAUCGUUCUGUAUAUAUCUCAAGUUUCUUGUGCAGAGACCUUUAGAGUUGAUUGAGAUUUGCAAAUGUAUAUGAAUUUAUUAAUCUGAUCUUGUCUACAAUGAAAAAAGAAAAAUUUAGUUU